Molecule: long non-coding RNA, 4400 nt
Organism: Trifolium pratense (red clover)
Lineage: Eukaryota; Viridiplantae; Streptophyta; Magnoliopsida; Fabales; Fabaceae
Exons: 3
Source: RefSeq, a predicted model, not a curated record
UUCAUCUCCUCCUCUUUUCCUUCAAAGCUCACGUGCUCUCUCUCUUCAACUACUCAUCUUCAUCUUUCUCUCUAGAAAAACAAACAGAACAAGCAACCCAUACAUACUCCAUCUUUCUCACUUUGUGUAAGUUUUAAGCUUUGCAUGUAGCAUCAAACAUUAACCCUUAAUCUUAGAAAUUAAUAGAAGAUGUUUGAAACUCCAAUCUUCCCUUUUUCCUUAGCUUGGCCGAAAUCCUCUCUCUCAUUGGUUAAGUUCAUCUAAUUCUUCAAUGAGACUAUGCAUGUGUCCAUUAAAGCUUCCUUCCACCAUUGUAUGUUGUUGGGUAAUCAAGGUAUGAGAGAAAUUCAACCUAUUCCUUUCCCCUUUGUUUCAUCAGAACCCUAAAUUAAAUUCCCUCACUAAAGUUCACGAGAGAAACUCAUCUUAGUCUUCUAUUCCCUAUUCCUUUUGAUUUGGUCGAAAUCCAAACAACAAGCCUAAACCCCAAACUCAGUUUCUUCAAAUUCAUAUUUGCAUGUGAAAGAUCCUACUCAAGUUCAAGCCUUUGGGUUACUAGGAAUCUAAGGUAAGAGGAAUCAAACUCAUCUUCUUUUCUUUCUUGGUUAUGUUAGACUCUAAGUCCUUCUUGGUGUAAUUGCAUGUUCCUAAUUACUGAACUUGGAGCACUUGGGAGGAGUUAAGAAUUGAUGGGUGAAAUAAGAAAACAAGAGGAAUUGGAAUGGCUGUGCAAAAAUCGUGUUUCUGGACAGGGUCUCACUAAAACGUAUUGAGUUCAGGAGACGCAUCUGAAGUUCAGGGUCUGAUGCAGAAUUUUGGGCUACGGGUUUGAAGUGUUGUGGCUGCAAUUUCUGUUUUUCAGCAAACUCCGGAUGUGUCAAUGGUACUGUUAAAGCAUCAAAUUCAGGUAAAUAGGUUAAUCGGAGCAAGGACCAGGCAGGAACUGAUGAUCGAGGUUGAGCUUGGAUUAUCGGAUUAGAAGACUAUCGUCUUCUUCUUUGUUUUUUGUUAAUCUGUUAUUAAGAUUUCAGUCAUCAUUUCAACUGUGUUGUAUUGAUUAUCACAUUAUUCUCGUGAUAAUUUGUAAUUCGAUUAAUUAUUCUGUAAAUUUUAAUGUACUCAGAUUCAAUUAUUAAUAUCUCGACUAAAUAUUCUAGACAAUUUAGUUGGGGUGUUACAAUUGGUAUCAGAGCAGGUCGAUCUAGUAUCGGACCUUGCCAUGAGUCAUUAGAAUUCAUUCCUAAGUAGUACGGACCCUUUGGAGUCUGGACUGUUUACGCUGAAAUCAUUGCGUGCUGAGCCUGUACAACUCAGUAUCGUGCAUGAUAGGCAGGGUAUUACGGUUGAGAACUGAAGUGGACCAAGGACGUCGAGUAGUAAGAACAGAGUAGAAGCGCAAUCUCGGACGAAAGUAAGAACCAAGUUCUUUGGAAACUGAUGUUGAAGCUGCAGUUGUUGACGCCACAGGAGUAAGUAGCAUAGCACCAACAAGUGGCGCGUAGUAUUUUGGAACAAUAGUGGUUUCGUGCCAGCAGUAAGAGUCAUGUCAGGAUAGGUAUGAAUCAGACGCGCUCAAAUGAAGUUGAUCAGCAAAAGACUCGUAGGAUUCUGGGAAAACAGACAACCUUAGUAUCAACGUAAGCCUUGACCGAAGUGGAACUCAGACUGGGUAUAGAAGUAAGAUACCCCGAUGUUAGCUGUAAAUCCGGAUUUGUAAUGAGGCAGAUAGAUGGAUGAGAAAAUCUCUCAAAGUAGUAAAUCACGAGCGGCGUAUACCGAAGGUAGAAUUGUCACACGGAGGAAUGUAGAUAAACCAUUAUACCGAAGUGUGUAGUACGUAAUAGUAUCCAACUGACACUAUGUAUCAGGUAAACUUUUCCGAACCUAGAAGUAACCUAACUCUCUUGUGAACCUACGUACCAGAAGCAUGUUGAACCAAGUAAAACCUAUCAGUCAGUAGACCGAAACUCUUCCUAAAUACUUAACCGUCCAUUGCAGCCAAGAAAUUCAUCCAAUAUUGUUAGAGUAAUAAAAAAAAAAACCAAUCACCUAUACUAGAAAAUUCAAAUUAAGCCACAUAUACAUAUCAUUAUUUUUCGGAUACCAUCUUGUUAGAUUACCCUCUAAAAUGUCAACAUUAACUGUCCUCAAUAAAAAGAAUUCAACCUCUCAGUUUGUAACUGGUAAUCAUACCAAACCAUUAUAAUAAGUCUAGCCUUAUCUAGUAUAACAGUCAGAAACUCCCUCGUAACAAUACCCGUUAUCCAUGUAGGUAAACUAAAAGUCAUCAUUCAAAUGUCCUUAAACUAGUAACUCAAAAUCAAUAUUAGUCUCAGUCAAUCACCAAACCAUUUCAUGUAUUCAAACCUAUCGACUAAUGACUCGACAGAAGUAGUUAACCCUUCAUUUGAAAUUUUGUUAGCUAAAACCUAAAUGUGAACCAAGUUGUCCGAACUCGGUAGAUGUCGGAUCUUCAAUUAUCUAUCUAUCCAUGUGGACCCUAACUCAGUAUAAUUCGUCGCAUCGAACAAUGCUUGAUUCCAUAUCAACCAGUCUUAGAAAACCUAGAAUAGGCAUGUUUCCAUAAAUUGUCUGCUUACGCAUCAGACAAAUAAUUACUUUUGUGUCUUAAUGUAUAUCAGCCACGUGUGACAUGCAAAUUCGAUAUAUCAGUAAGUCAAAUAGAUAUGGUAGAGCGUCACUCUUAAGUAACCAUAUCAAAUGUCUUCAACCUUUCAGUUAUGUUUAUAGUAACUAAUUUGGAACCACUCAAUUCCGUGAAACUAAGAAGCAGUAAUAAGAAUAUGAUCCUUUUAGUUCUGUUCUCUAUAACCAUGUUAGAUCAGUGUAAACUCUGAGUAUCUUGGCCAAAAUGAUUCAGCUCUCUAGUCUGUUACCGAAAAUCAGUUCAAGUCAGCAUAGGUUGUAGUUACUCGUGUAGAGUAAUGAAAUGCCAUCACUCGUGUCCAACUAUCCAGAUUUAGAAUCCGACUGUUUUGUCAAAUUUCCAUCACAUUAGCUUACCAGUUACAUUUUCAAACAAGUCUAACCCUUAGCUUAAGAGAAAAUUCGAACUCAAGCUCAUCUACACGUUAAAUGUACAACUAGAUCCUUUGUGUUGUGCUAGGAUUGAUUGGAAUGGUAGGUGGAAAGUUUCCCAAAGAACUAUGAGUCCGUUUGCAGAUGAGUUUAACUUAUUGGCAAAAUGAUAUGUAGUAAUUAGGCACUCUUCCACUCGUUUUAUAUUUCAAUCGAUCCUGGAGUAUUUAAACGACACAUGUGUCAUCUAGUGGUACAUAUGACAUAUUAGACGCUUGUAGUGUUCGAAAUUAAGUAAUUGAGAAUAACCAUGAGAAUGAAUAUUUUUGGAUUUGUCAGUUUAGUACUCAAGCUUAUAUCCUUCAGAUAACCUUAUAACGUCAAUCUAUGCCCAAUGUCUUAGUGUGUACCCAACUAGGCCAGAUACCGACUUAAGGAAGUCAGUUGAGUAACAAAGUUAUUGCUGGAAGCAAUAAAAAGAAAUUAAUCGUAACGAAGAUUGCUAGGGUGAGAAGCUAGGUGAAGUCUAACUCACUGACCCUCUCACUGAAUGAAAGUAUGUUGACGGAAUCAGAGUGCGCAGCAAGUAUGGGUUAAGGAUGUAGGUAGUAGUUUGACUUGUAUCUUGGUAACUCGUCAAGAGAGGAAAUUUCAUUCCAAGCAACGAGAUGUAAUUGACUGUGAAAUGAGUAAUGCGCGUCUGAUGAGUAAGUAUGCACACUGUCACACUCAAACCUUGAAUUGUUAGUAGCGAAGUACUCUUGAGAGAAGAGACGGUGUUCGAAAAACACCGUUCAACUAAGAAGUUUAGCAUGGUGAACUUGUAGCAGCAAGUGUACUCCAGUAUUAACGUCAAGGGUGUAGAUGAAAGGACUAAUAUUUCAUAAGCCUGUGAACUACGAAAAGAUAACGGGAAUGACUGUUAUGGGAUAACCACACACCAAAAAGUUGUGAUAUUGUACCUAAGGGGGAUUCAAUGUCAUGAAUCGGACGGGAACGUAGACGGUUACCCUGGUGUUGAGUGAAGAAGAAUCCGAAUUUCGGGGACGAAAUUCUUUUAAGGGGGGUAGAUUGUAAUAUCCCGAUCUUAAUUAAUAGGAGUAUUAUUAAUUAAGACUAUAUAAUGGAAUUAAGUAAUUGAGAAUGAAAAAUAGUAGAGAAGCACGAUGACAAACUAGUAAUAAAUGGAUGGUUGUAUGGUAAUUAAUGACAAUUGAUAUAGAAGGAUCACACCUAUAAUAAGCCAAGAGAAAUAGAAAAUCAAUUGUCAGCAAACUUUCUCUCUUCUCCCACGUCAAAAACAACAACACCAACACUAGAAAUAAUGGACCCACACCUUUAUUGAAACUAGACAACCACUA